This is a long non-coding RNA of Symphalangus syndactylus (siamang), 21748 nucleotides long. RefSeq lists it as uncharacterized. NCBI's taxonomy places the organism in Eukaryota, Metazoa, Chordata, Mammalia, Primates, Hylobatidae. The record is from RefSeq and is a predicted model, not a curated record.
GAGAAAGUUGCUUAUGAAAGGUUUAAGGAAGCAAUAACAUUUCCAAAUAAGGAAGGGGCAUAAGCUAUGAGCUAAGACUUGCCUGGGCCUGUCCAGACAUGCCUAGUGUGUGACGCAUGUGCUCAUGGAUUAUUGUCCAAAGCAAGUCAUGUGACCAAGCCUAACAUCAACUGGGUGAAGAGCUAUAUGUUCCUUUCUCAAGAGGCACUACAAGUGACAUGCCAACGGGCAGGUAAGAUCCUCUCAAAUGAAGGGACUGUGAAUAUUUGACUAAUAAUACAAAUAUUUCUGGCUAUUUUACAGUGAUAUUUACAAAUAUCACUGGCUAACUUUUCCCAGCUUGAUAUCCUGAAAGAGGCACAGUUUCAACAGUAAAUGGUAAAUUUACCUUGAUUGCACUGAAGGCUAUUUCUUUAAAACUAUUUUCUUUCCUUUUGACUAUUCCGUGUAUCCUUUCAGAAGUAAACAUUGUUUUUACCCCUUUAAAAAGUCUCUACUUAUAACAUGUACUUAAUUUGGAAUUUAUCUAACAUUGCCAGUUUGAUAUAGAUAGAGAAAUUUAAUGAGAAAAUUCAGUUCUAUAUUUAGAAUAUGGAUUCUUCAAGAUGUUUCUGACAUGCAUUUGUUUUCAUUGAAACAUUAAAAAAAUUAUUUAGCUAACAUCUGAGGAGCACAUUGACUUUUGUACAGUUCAACUUUUUUUAAAAUGAAAGAACUAGUGUUUCUUGUAGAAGGGAGGAAUGGAGAUUAGCACCAAAAGAAAAUUUGACUUAUUCUUUGUCUCAUUUGGUCUUGAAGGUUAGAGUCUGAAUAUGUCCAGGAAGUGUAUCUUAUGAAUAAGAAACUAAUACAUCACAUUUUCACAGAAAUUAUUUUUAAAUAAUCAGAGUUAGUAAAUUCAGUUUUUGUCUGUUCUUUUUUUUUUUUUUUUUAACCCUAAGGCAAGCUCACAGCCUAUACUUAAAGUUGUAAAUAUAAGCCUUAAAGUGUAAAUUUCUAGGCAGAGCAUGGCAAGGUAGAUGAAUGGAUUCCAUUAAUGUCUGUGGAACCAAUGGAGUUAAAUCCUUUUUUCGUUUGUCUCAAAAAUGAAGCCGUAAGCAAGCUUUGCAAAUGGCAAGAGUAAUAACAGUUAAGUCAUGAACCUAAGGCUCUCAGUGUUAAUGCUCUAAUUCAUUAAACCAACUCUUCUCCUGAUAGAAGUCAUUUUCUAAAUGGUUUCUAAGCCAAAAUGCCUGGCAUAAUUAAAAUUUAAAUUUUGGUUAUUUUCUUCACUCUCCCCCAUUUUUUUAAUUCUUAAAAAAUACUUUGUAUCAAAUACAACUCUUCAAAAUGUAUGACAAUUUUCUUAUUUGAUAAUUUUAAUUUCAUGAUUUACAAAAUUAAGCUCACUAAAUAUGAAGAAAAUUCACAACUGAAUGUAUUCUAAAUCCUAGGAAAACAUUCACUAAAUUGAGUCAUUUAAUAGUUCUAGAACAGGGAUCGGCAAACUGUGGCCUGCAGCCAAUUUUUUAAAAUAACAUUUGUUUACAUAUUACCUAUAGCUGCUAUUUUUGUGCUACCAUGGCAAAGUUGAAGGAAAGGAAAAGAAAGGAAAGCAAAGGCUUCCUUCUCCAUAGUACUCAGAUGCCUGCCAAGGUGAUGGAGCUAUGUGACAUAGAAAGAAUUUAGUAGUUGUUUUUUUUUUUUUUUCUCCUCAGAUUCCUACUAUCCUAUAAAAUUGGAACUUUAGUCUUUUUAAUGGAAAGAUGAUUUCAUUCUUCCAUUCAUUUUGAUAGGCUUGUCCCAAUAACAGGAAUAUGAUUUAAGUCAGCUAUAACUGUGUCCACAGUUUUCUUUGUUAAUAUCACAAAUCUCUUGUUUUAGAACAUAGGAUGAGACAAGACAAGAUCUUUUAUAUGGCUGGUUUGGAAAGUGUCUGCUAUGGAGACCCAAAUUUUCCCACAUUUAAGUCCAGAGGUGAAUUUGGUGGGGCAGGGGUGGAGUGGGGGGUGGAUAGUAUCAGACCUAACUUUGACCUUCAGUUCAAACCAAGUUCUUCAAUAGACUUCUACUAGUAAUAUACACAGAAACUGAUAUUUGGAUUCCUAUUUAUUUUUUUUUUCUAAAUUACCCAAUUGACUGAGAAUUUGGAGAUAGGAGAACAAAACUAAUACCAUGCCCUAACUCCAGCCCCAACCCUCUAACUUUAGCACUCCUGGGGCUGACCAGGAAUUUCCCCUGGCCAGGAAAGAAACAAAUUUACUACCAAACCCAAUAUGUCAAGUGGACAAAAAUUUGUAAAUUGAGAGGAGAAGUACUUCUCUCCCUUUAGCACACACUGUUUAGCCCAUAAAGUAGAACCAUUUUCUUUGUGGAAGCAUAGAGAGAACAUCUGCCUUCUCUCCACAUCUAGCCCAAGGCUUGGUCCCUUCAGACCCUCUUGGCCUUGAGGGCACACUGUGAUUGACAAGUGGGAAGAAAGUCAGAAUUCCCUUUGUGGCUGCAAUAGAAAGAUAUUCUUCUGAAAAAUGAAUUCCAAUAUUUAUAUGUGAAUAUAGAGAAAUUCAGGGCUAGCUUCAUGGAUAUAUGACCUGUGCACUUGUACAGAGUCCCAUGCUUAGAAGAGUAUAAUGUUUGGUUUAAUAUUCUGCUAUCAUUGUCUCGAAAUAGGCCCAAUAAAUUAGGAAUCUAUCCUGGGUAGGGUAUUAGAAGUCACAUUCUCUUGUUAAGUUCAACCAGAAAUAAUGUCAUAUUUUGAUGUUUAUGUUUUCCCAUGUAUACUUCUUAAUUGCUGCAUUUCUCAGUUGGGAAAAAAACAAACUGGUGUAAUAUUGCCCACAAAGAAUCUUCAUUUAAAGUUGGUCAAACUAUCAUUUAUGUUUUCCCCACACAGUAUGGGUUACACCCAGAAAUCUCACAUUUAGUACUUUGCUUAAGCAGAUUAUUAAAUGUCUGUCCAUAAAUAAUUUCUCAUAGACUUGCACAACCACAACACAUCUUUAGAAGUAAAACCCUAAUUUAUGUGUGAACAAUGAUUUGAUCACAAAUCCAAGUGUAACAAUAUUUGGACUAUGAAUAUUGGUGGCACAUAAUAGUUACUAAAUACAUCAAUUUAUUUACAUUAAAUUAGUUUCACAAAAGACACAAUCUAAAGUUCUAUUUUCAUGUAGGAGGGAGUUUGUAUAAAAAUGUAUUAUUUGGCUGCUAUUAAGAAUAACUAAUAUUAUUCUGUAAUUAUAAUUUUAACAUACUCCUUUGUUAAUAAAACAGCUACCUGAAAUGGAUAUUUUAACUGCCGUAUCUGCUUAUUCUGGCCUUAAAUACUAUUUUGGAUUAACUAAUUCAUAAAUUUUUAAAUCCCUAAUCAAGUUGCUAAUCACAAAAUGCAUUUAUUUUCAGUAAAUUCACAAAUUAAGCAGAAAAAAGUAUAAACCUAAUAAAUUGAACUUUUAAAUAGUAGUGAUUGUUUUCUAUCUUCCAUUUUUGUUUCAUUUGGUUUACAAUGACUGAAAUUAUUUGCUAUUUAAAUACCUGUGUUAGUUAAAGUUAAGAUGUUGUAGUAAGAAUACUCCAAAAUAUAGUGGCUUAAAUAAAACAUAAAUACAGUUCUCUCUCAUGAGACAGAGCUGAGUGGUGCAAAACAGAACAGCACUGCUCUAUAAGGCCAUUCGAAGACCUGUAUUUCUUUUAUUUUCUUACUAUGCCAUUUCAUAGAGUUGUCCUUGUCUCAAUGGUUGAAGCUAGCCACCGCUAUAUCCAGUCUGCUAGUGGGAAGAAGAAAAGAGGAAGCUUAAGGCAAAAGUCUUCAUUUUAUUUAUUUAUUUAUUUAUUUGCUUAUUUAUUUAUUUAUUGAGACAGAGUCUUGCUCUGUCACUCAGGCUGGAAUGCAGUGGCAUAAUCAUAGUUAACUGCAUCUCCAAAGUCCUGGGUGCAAGCAAUUUUUCUGUCUCAGCCACCUGAGUAGCUGGGACUACAAGUGCACACUUCUAUGCCUGGCUAAGAGGCUUUAUUUUUAAACAGAUGACCUACAAAUCACAUGCCUGACUUUUACUCAAAUAUCAUUUUUCCAAAGUUAGUCAUGAGGCCAAGGCUGUGAGUAAAGUUGGCAGCCAUGGUCCAUGCACCUAACUAAAAGUCAGCAACCAAGAGCGAGAGAGAGAGAGAAGGAAGAAAAACCAUACAGGGGUUACAAUUAGUGCUGUAAUAUCUCAAGUGUUUAAGCUGUUGUAACUGACACAUAAUUCUAAUAAGGUCCAAAAGAUAUGAAGGAUUUAAUGUGUACAGCCUCUUAAUCUUGGCUGAAUGGAACUAAGUUAAACUAAAAGGUUGGAAUUACUAUAUUCCUUAUUUCACUUGUAAAUAGAAACAUAAAGUACUAUUAAUAAAUACUAGAAAUAUUUCAAAUAUGGAAUAUUAUAAUCAGGAAUUUUAUGAGAAUUUAGAUACCUUUAUUUGGAGAAGCAAUACUUCUCAAAGUUCCAUCUCUUGGCCUUGCAUUGGUCUUUUUGAAGUUGGGUUGUUUGCAACAUAAGAAUAUAAUUACAGUGAAUAUAUUUAUUUAAUAUAAUUUAUGUUCCUUAUUCUUAAGUUUACUCUUUUCUAAAAAUUUGAUGUUGGUACAUUUUCAUUAAUAAACUGACAAUGAUACAAUAGGUUUUGGAUAUUGUUGUGAUUUCCAUAUCCUAAAAUAUAAGUUGGCCGUCCAUGGUGGUCCACCUGUUAAAAUAAAUAAAUUAAUUCAUAAAUAGUACUGGUGCGUAAGAUCCAAAAACAUUGUGGCUGAUAGUGUGAAGAGUAAAUGGGAGUUUUCUCCGUUAUGAGGUUACAUUGCACAAUGCAACUCUGAACAAAAGGUAUCCCGAAAUAAAAUCCUAUAUCUAAGGUAAUGUAUGAUGAAGAAACAACACAGAAGCCUUAAAGGAUUUGCCCAAGUUUGCACGAUUUGGCAAGGGCAUUGCUGGCCCUAGAACACUGGCUUCAGCUUAUUUCUUUUUUUUUCUAUUGCAUAAUAAAAGUAAUGUUUUCCAUAGUGUAAAUGGUGGAACUUAGUUCUUCUGGAUAUUAUUAUUUAAAAAAUAAAUUGUAAAACAUGCCAAAUAAGUUCAUGAAAAGACUACAGUAAAAAUUAAAAAGGAAAACUAGUGUCUUUAUUGCAGACUUUUCUAAACUAAGGUGCUUUGUGAGUUACAAGCGAGGGAUAGAGGACAGAGCAUUUUACACAGCUUCCUGUGUUUGAAUGAGCGUCCCUUUAUUUCUACUUACUGAGAAUAUUUUUGGAGAAACAUUUCUGUCUUGGAAAUGAGUUUAAGCAGACUGUCAACAAACUUUCAAAAGCUCUCUUAUAUCAGUAUAUUUCAAACUCACACACACCUUAAGUUAUGCCAUAUGACUUGCACAUAACAUGCAGCAUACUGAGAUACCAUUAACUGAACUUUCCUGUAUUCAAGUGCAGGGUUCAAGAGGUGCAAACCAAUGUUUACUUUUCUGUUCUUAUAAAAUUCUGGUGCUUCAGAAGACCAAGAAAAUACAUGAAUUCAGGAACUUUCACCUUUAAGUAUUCAAAUGGCAUUUGGUUUAUAAUGGGUACUAAAGAAAUAUGUAACACAGAUCACUUACGAUAGCAUCCCGCUGCAGUCUUUAAAAUUAGUUCUCAAGUGAAUGAAAACAUUAGAGGCACAUCUUUUGUCAUUGUUCUAUGUGAAACCGCAACAGCAACCUACACCCUACACACACACACACACACACACACACACACACACACAAAAUUAAGACAAUUGGAGCUAAAAAAUACAGUAUCAUAACCCAUUAUCCCUUUUUGUACUUGUGCACAUUUUUUAUCUACUUGCCCUGAUUUAGUAUUUAUUUUUUUGCUGGGUUCCCAUUUUCAAUUUUCUUCAUCCACCAUUUCUUCAUUUCUUUUGUUUUUUAUAUGUGCUACUAUUCUCACUCAUUCUUUUAUCCAUAAACAUAACUCAUUCUCACCGAGUCACAAAUGGCUCCAAGGCAUAGAAAUAUCUUUAAAAGACCAUUUCCAAAGUCCAGAGAUUUUUUUUUUUAUGUUGGUCAAUAAAUGCUACAUGUUUGGGCUUGAUUCACAUUUUACAGGAAGAGUAAUGGAGAUGUGAUUGGAGUCAGCUAACAGGUAUUUUUUUGGAAAGACAUUUGGUGGAAGUGUCACAUUUUAUCUUAGUUGACUUGUUUGAUGUUCAUUAAGUUUCUCUAUUGAGGUUUAUCUAAUGUUUUUCUCUUGAUCAGACUGGGGUUAUGUGAUCUUUUGAAGAAGGCCACAGAGCUAAAGUGCCAUUCUCAUCAAAUUAUAUAAAAAGUACAUAUUUUCAACAUGACAUUACUGUUGAUGUUGACCUUAGGUAGUGCUUGUCAGAUUUCACCACUUUAGAGUCAUUCCUUUUUUCCUCUUGCCAUACUGUGUUCUGUGAAAGAAAGUCACCAUUUAAAAAUCCAAACUAAAAGAAGUGAGAGUCAUUUUCCACCUCCUUGAGGGCAAAUAUCUACAUAAAUUAUUUGAAACUGUUCUGCAAGGGAGUAUUGUCUCUUCUUUCCCAUUUAUUAAUUUAUUCACUUAUUUAUAUCUGUAUGGACUCCCUGAUAUUUAUUUUAUUAUUUGGGUUAUAAUCCAAUAGUACUUUAUUGUAUUGCUCAAAUUGCCUCCGUUUUGACAACUGGGAACUCUUUCAAUGGCUCCUGUGUCUCUUUGACAUAUCCCCAUCAUUGUGGUGUUGUUUAUGUUUUAUUUUAUUUGUUUUAUUGUUUAUGUUUGUUUUAUUUAUUCUUGCUAAGUCCUAGAACGUUCCAUUUCUACAAGGAGCCUUGGUUCAUUUUAUUGGAGAAUUAUAUUAGAAACAAAAAUCUGGGUGAUAGGUAUCUGUGAAUUCUUUAGUAAAUCCACCCCUUCUCCAAUUGAAAGUAAUAUUGUCCUUGUGAUAGUUUGCUGAGAAUGAUGGUUUCCAGCUUCAUCCAUGUCUCUACAGAGGACAUGAACUCAUCAUUUUUUAUGGCUGCAUACUAUUCCAUGGUGUAUAUGUGCCACAUUUUCUUAAUUCAGUCUAUCAAUACACAUUGUGCACAUGUACCCUAGAACUUAAAGUAUAAUGAAAAUAUAUAUAAAAAAUUUUAAAAAAUGAUUAAAAAAAGAAAGUAAUAUUCUAUAUAAGCUCUUGUAAUGCUAGAUAGUAUGCAUUGAGUAGUUGCUGAGUGCUGGGCACAGUUUUAAGCACUUUAUUUCUACCUCCUCAUUUAAUGUCUAAAAUAAGUCUUUGAUAUCAGUACUGUUGUUUUCCCUACUCUGUCCAGAACGGGACUAAUUGCUCAAGGUCACACAGAAUAGUAAGUGAUGUAAUACAGAUUCACACCCAUGCAGUCUGACUUCUCUAGUGUCACUCAUUCAGAAACUAAGUAUUUUCUCCAUCGUUUUAAAAUGACAAUCCUUUCUUUGUUUUGUUUUGUUUUGAGAGGAAGUUUCGCUCCGUUGCCCAGGCUAGAGUGCAGUGACGCGAUCUCGGCUCACUGCAAACUCCACGUCCGGGGUUCAAGCGAUUCUUGUGCCUCAGCCUCUAGAGUUGCUGGGACUACAGGCAUGCACCACGUGCUCUGCUAAUUCUUGUGUUUUUUAGUAGAGGCAGGGUUUCAUCAUGUUGGCCAGGCUGGUCUUGAACUCCAGACUUCAAGCGAUCCACUUGCCUCGGGCUCCCAAAGUGUUGAGAUUACAGGCGUGAGCCACUGUGCCCAGCCAAAAUUUAAUCCUUUCUUUCUUUCAUUGUACUUUUUUGAAUGUACAGCUAUUUGCUUCUUAUAUUUAAAAAAAACUCAUUUCUGACAUUAUGGAAGCUUUCCUAAAAACCUAAAAACUUUAUGAAAAUUAGGCACUGUUGUAUUUGCAAUACUUUAUCAUACUAUAUUAAAAUUUUACAUAUUUAAAUCUCUCUCACCACUAGCUAAUAAACUUCUUAAGAUCUGGAAUUUCAUCUCUUAUAUCCCUGAUCUUUUCAUUAUUUGUGCUUGCAAUACAUUUGAAUAAAUAAAUGUCUACUUUUUGUUAUGAGGCUGCAACUAAUACAUCUGAUUCAUAUUAAUGUUUCAUUUUUAAUCAUUUAUACACUCGACCACAUUGUAGAUGUUUAAUAAUUAAUGAAUGAAUGAGUAUGGAUCUGUGAAAUAUCACCCCAUGUGGAUGAAAUUUGAAUGAUAUUUUUUAAAACAGAAAAUAAAUAUAGGAGGACUAGGUCUAAAUUUCCUCAAGAUAUUUAUGCUAGGAAUUUGUUUCUCUAAAUAGUAUGUAGUCCUUCAAUCAUUUCAAAUUGUUUUAAAGAUUCAUGGACUUUUAUUUUGCUUUGUUUUGUCUUAGUCUACAAUUAGUAAUUUUUAAUUUGCCUAAUAAAUACAAAACCCAAGGUAAAUAAGAUAAUAGUUUUUUUUUUUUUUUUUUUUUUUAAAGAAGAUUGAGUAAAAGGGUAAAUUUAAAAGAAUUGUGGUGGACCAGGCAUGAUGGCUCAUACCUGUAAUCCUAGCACUUUGUAGGGUGAAAGUCAGAGGGUCACUUGAGAUCAGGAGUUCAAAACCAGACUGGCAACAUAGCAAGACCCUGUCUCAACAAAAAAAAAAAAAAAUUUUUUAAAUUAGCCAGAUGUGGUGGCACACAUCUGUAAUUCUAGCUAAUGGGGAGGCUGAGGUGGGAGGAUCCCUUGAGCCCAGGAGUAUGAGGCUGCAGUGAGUUAUGAUCAUGCCACUGUAUUCCAGCCUGGGCAACAAAGCAAGAUCCUAUCUCUAAAAUAAAAUAAAGUAAAAGUAAAGAUUAAAAAAAGAAGUUGUGAAUACUGAAACAGAAGAGAAUUAUUUUAGGUACUUCAAUAUUUAUUUCUGAUUUCUUAUCUCUGGCCAAAAGAAAGAGAGGGGGAGUUAAAGUUGAAGUGAAUUUAAUCCUUUAUCAUUAUUCAACAAAUUCAGUGAACAGAAAAAUAUAAUGGAUUUUCUAGGAAUAGCUUCUGUUAUUUUAGAAAUGCUGAAAGUAGAUUAAAAGCUGCAUAGUUAUUGACCUAAAAAUAUCCACUGCUAGAAUUUUUCUUUCAUUAUUCAGAAGCAAAUGCUUUGCUAAAAAUCUAUAAAUAAAAGUACUGAUGUUUUUAAGUAUGUUUGAAGAACUAACUUUUGGAGCAACUGCAUCAAUGCAAGAUAAAGUUAAUCUAUUGGAAAAAAUUUAGAGAACAUGUUUAUUGGAUAUUUAGCUCUGUGUAGAAAGUAAUUUCUUAUUCAUCUCUCUGCUCUCCUUACAUCUAAUAGUGUUUAGCCCAGAAGAGUCCAUAAUAAAUAUUUAUUGUAUGUCUGCAUAAAAUACUGUUUAAAAUUAAUUUUAAGUCAGUUUUCUCAUAGAAAAACUGUGGUUUAGCAAUAUUGUUAACUUAAUUAUAAGUAUUGACAUAAUAGUUAUUGAACAUAAACUUUACUAUUUACUGGAUGAAAAAUAUUUUGUAUAAAUUCACUUAUACAACUGUUAUGGUACCCUCUGACAUUAUUUUGGAAGAUUUAAAAAUUAUAUUAUGCAAGGAAAUUUUUGACAGAAUAUAAGGGACAGAUAAAUUCAAAGUGGUUUUUACUUUCUCAAUUGCAUUCAGAGUUUUAUUUUCCAUUUUAAUAAUAUAUUUUCAUAAACAGGGACAAAUGAAUCACAAAAAGUAAACAAAUUGCAGCCUACUGGUGGCACUGAUGCUUUCCCACAGAUUCGUAGGUUAAGUCUGUAAAGAAAUAAAAUCAAUAAUUUGAAAUGUUUCUAGGUUAUUUGUGCCCCAAACUUAAUAAUAAAAAAAAGUAUACCCAGAUUUUCCUUUACAUUUGCAUUACGGAUACUAUUUUUUUUAAAUGUUGACUUCACAGUAAUUCUUAGCCUAUAGCCCACUAAUUGUGAUAUACAUAAUUAAUAUUUGUUGGAUUAAAUUUCACUGUUCACUAACAUGACUUUGAGUAAGAAGGCUGACCUAGUAAAUUUCCACAAUAAAUGAUGUUAAUAUUACCAGUAAAUUCUAGUUAAAUUCCAUGCAAAAGCUGUUUUUUUUUUUAUUUUAAGCAACCUGAGUUAUCAAAAUAUCUAACCCUCAUGUAUUUUAAGUAUUGUUCUGGAGAUUCAUCAAUUUAAUCAAAGCUAUUGCUUCAGUCCUGAUAAGCAUUCUUGUUGUAAAAGACUCUAAAGUACUGUACAGAUUUAUAAUCAGCAAAAACUAACAAACACAUGCAACAUGUAAAAUUGUUUUCUGACAAUGUGCCCCAAAUAUUUUAUUACUCUAUUUAUUAUAUUUUCCAAUGAGUUGUAGAAUAUAGUUUACAAAUCAUUACAUUGACUAUUAGCACAUUAUGAGCCUUCAACAUAUUCCAUUACACAUGAAGAGAAAACUGAAGUCUUAAGAUGAAUGCAAAAACAUACUUACAACAAUAGCUCUAGAGGAAGAUAUAUGGUUUAUAAUUCUUCAUAUAGUCUACCUGAUGGCAAAAAAAAAAUCUUAAAUCAAUAAAGAUUUUGCUAGUCUUAUACUUUCCUUGUGCCCAGUGUAUAUAAUCUCUAAUACUCUUAAUAUAUAUGUGAACUCACAACUGAUUCUACAUUCAAUAUGUUGUGAUAUUUUGUUUUGGUUUAAUAUGUGAAGAAAAUCUGAACUCACAUAGACAUGUAAUUGAAAAAGGGAGGAGUAUUUUAAUAGCCUUAUGAUUGUUGCAUUUAGUCCAAUUUGAUGUUACACCCAGCUUUACAAAUAGUAGUUUCUUAAAGAUUAGUUGCAAUUUGGAAUGAAAAUUGUAUCAAUGAACUUCUCAUAAUCUGUUUAAUUUCACUGAUAUAUCUUAGAUAUAAAGUGAAUUUUUGGUAAAGUCACUGAUCAUUUGAAAAAUUAUCAGUUUACUGGGUUGUGUAGAUUUCACAAAAGUUGAUACCCUUAACUAGGCUAAAUGUUAAUAAUCACAUGUUUAUAUCACCACUGAGCUCAUCAGAAACCUUUUCUUCUACUGAGAAACUGUUAAGCUCAUAAUGGUGGAUAAAAGUUUUGCAAAAUUCUGUUUCUCUUGAAAUUAAAAUUUCAUUAUUUGCAACACACACUGUUAGUUGUUUUCCUUUAAGUAAACAGUUCUGUUCCUUAACUUCGUAACACUAAAUUCUGAAUGACAAUACUUUGACGGUCAUUCUUUCAAGUGAAGAUGGUGUUUAAUAUCAACAGAUAGCUACAUCAGCUCACGAGUCAACUGCACAAUUAUUUUUCUUGAUACAAUCUUCAUACUUGGAUGGGCAGCAGAAAUGCACUUUAUAUAUAUUUCUCAUUUUCAUCAUAUAGAAUAUAAAAAGACAGGUUUUCAAAUUAAAAGAUUUAAUAAAAUUAAUAAUUUUCUAAGACAUUCUCAGGUGAAACAGGUAUUUUUUUCACAUGUGUGGCGGGAAAAAUUAUUUGGUAUCACUGCCUCAAUUCCUGAUAACACAUCAAUGAUUUUACGUAUCACUGCUUUCGUAUCAUGAAUUCAAAUGCAUACACAGUGAGAAAGGCAAAUACUUUCUUAGCAUUAUUAAGAAGAAAGUUUUUUAUUGGACCAGCUGAGAGGGUUAUGAUGAAAUUUGGAGCCAAAAAUCACAGCUUAAUAACUAUUGUUCUAAAUAUAUCUAAACAAAAACUGAUAGCAUUCUAUGGAAUAGAAUACAAAGUAACUGUAACUGCAAAAUCUUCCAUAUGUGCAACAAGAAAAGAUUUUGUAUGAGAGACUUUUGCUUUCUGGGAGAAUUCUGCUUGUUGAAGAUAUGUUGAAGGUUACAUUCUUAUUUAUGAGUUAAAUACAGGCCAUUUGUUUCUUAUUUUGUCUUGAAGCUUACAGGUUCUUCUUUUACGUUUCUAUUCACCCCCACUGCCUUUUAAAAGCACAUCAGAAUGAUAGAUAUUCAGAGUUCAUAUUGUAGCUUACGCAAAAUAGAAGAAAUUAUAUUUGGAGUAAAAAUAAAGAACCUUUACUUUCAUCUUUAUAUUUAAAGCCUCUCAACUAAGGAGAUACAGUGUGGAAGAUCUUAUUGAAACCACCUUUGCAAAAAUUAUAACUGAGAAAACUACGACAAUGAAAAAGAUCUACCUGAUUCCAUCUUGCUUCUAACCUCUACCCUCUCCUAAUUUAUACGUGGGUUUAGGCAGCACUAUUUUUUGGAGGAACUUAUAGUUUAACUUUGGAACAAAGAUGAUCACAGUCUCAUCCCAAAACAAACUCCCUGCCUGCCUGGAGGCUAGAUUGCCUUUGUGGGACUAACAAAUUAGCUACAGGAUUAGAGAUUAUGAUUUAGGAGUCAUGCAUCUGGAGGCUAUAAGAUGCUGGACCUCCCCAGAUUGCUUCUGGGGAUAACAUUACUUUUGUAAAACCUGAGAUCAGUGCUUGAGAUACUUUACAGACACUGUACUUGAUGGCUUAUUUGGUCUUGUGGCCCCCACCCAGGAACUGACUCAGUGCAAGAGGACAGCUGGGACUCCCAAUGAUUUCAUCUCUCACCGCACCAGUCAGCACUCCCCACUGUCCAACCCCUGCCACCAAAUUAUCCUUGAAAACCUCGAUCCCCAGGUUUUCAGGGAGACUGAUUUGCGUAAUAAUAAAACUCUGGUCUCCUGCACAGCCGGCUCUGUAUGAAUUAAAUUCUUUAUUACAAUUCCCCUGUCUUGAUAAAUCCGCUCUGUCUAGACAGAGGGCAAGGAAAACCCCUUGGGCAGUUACAUUAUCUCUUUUCUUCUUAGAACGUUAAGUCUUUCUCCAUUGUAUUGAAAGGUCAUUAAGAGUCUGUUGAGGCCGGGCGCGGUGGCUCACGCUUGUAAUCCCAGCACUUUGGGAGGCCGAGGCAGGCGGAUCACGAGGUCAGGAGAUCGAGACCACGGUGAAACCCCUUCUCUACUAAAAAUACAAAAAAAUUAGCAGGGCGUGGUGGCGGGCGCCUGUAGUCCCAGCUACUCGGAGAGGCUGAGGCAGGAGAAUGGCGUGAACCUGGGAGGCGGAGCUUGCAGUGAGCCGAGAUCUGGCCACUGCACUCCAGCCUGGGUGACAGAGAAAGACUCCGUCUCAAAAAAAAAAAAAAAAAAAAAAAGAGUCUGUUCAAAUAACUCAUAUGUGAAAUAUAACAAGAAUUCUAUACUAAUAUAAUGUUAUCCAGUAAUAUUUACAGCAAAGUUACUAUUUAUGCAGUGUUUUGCUGGAGCCAAUUUAUAAUGGCACACAAGAGUCAACUGUGCACCUCUCUUCCCAAUGCUACAUUCGAUGAUGUCAUCAAAAUAAAGCUGAGAUUUGCCAAACUCAUUGUCAGUCAGAGUUUGCCUAAGGAGGUAUUUCUAAUAAUAAAACAUAAUUGAGUCCCGAAAAGAUAUGUAAAAUAUUCAUUUUUAAUGAUACUGCUGCUGUUACUGACAAUAGUAAUUAUAUUUAUUUUUUGGCCAAAAUAUUUAAUUAUAAACUUUUGCCAAAUUGUCUUUGUCAAUUAAUAAAGUUUAAAAUUUAUCAGGUAUUUCUUCUACUGUGUUUGGAAAAAUUCCCUGUAUCUCUAUUAAGCUUACUUUGAAUAAUAAAAAAAAACUCUUAUUUUAAUUUGAGGAAAUCUUUCAGUGCUGACUUUGCCCUGUAUCAGACAUAAAUUCUUAAAAUAAAGACUAAGUAUUUUAUGUAAGCAUUUUAGCAAAUGUUUCCAGUACUUUGGAUGGCAUCAUGUAUAUAUGUUAGAUAAUAUUUACUUAAGGAUGCCAAUAUAAAAAAAAUUAGAUCUUUAGCAAAAACCCAACUCAGUAUAGAGUUAUCCUUCUGUUUGGUUGAAAUAAAUUGUUGACUUUUUAGCAAAAAUAAUUUCCAUAUCUUCAAUAAUUUUGCUAAGAAGUAUUAAAACACCUGUGAGAGACUGGUUUAAAGUUAAUAUGAUGAAAAAAUAGAUAAAUCUCAUGAACUCGAGCUACAUGAGAAAAUAGCACCCAGCACAGUCCCAGGGGUCAAUCCGUCAAUGUUAAUUAAGAGAAGUUCUGCCUGGGUCUAAAGAACAGGAAAGAAAAUGAGAAAUGUGGUAAGUAAAACAACAGCAAGAAAAGAAAGAGGGCAUGGUUAGAUGUCAAGAUACCCUUCUGGUUUUCAGCCCAGUUCUGCCACUAACUAGCUGUGUCCUUACUCUUAUGGAAUGUGUUUCUUUGGGCCCUUGUUGGCUUAAAUGUACAGUGAGAGAAAUUGAUUGGUCUGCUUUAAAUUUCUUACAUUUCUAAAACUUACAGUAUGAUUAAGGACAUAGGAUAAUCAAGAAGCUUUUUAUAUAUAUAUAUAUAGAUAAUCCAACAACCACUGCAUGAUAUAUAUAGAGAGUUUGAACCAUGACUUUUGAUCAGAUUAGUUCAGCUGUGAUGAGUGUAUAAAACAGCCUAAACAAAACAAUUUCCUCUCUCGUUUCUGCUCCGAACAUGGCAACUGCAGAAAACCCAUGGUCAGUUUCAUAGUAAAUUAUGAGAUUGUGACACUUCUGCCAAAAGAUAACACAGAUUCCCAAACCUCUAGAAAUUUUUAAGGUAUUGCCACAGGUUUCAGAAAACCAAAACAAUGCAAGAAUAUUUAUUACAAUAUACGAUUUUGGUAAAUGUGUUUUUUCUCUUUCAUAUAUGAUGUUGAAAACAUAUCAUGCGGCUGGGCUCAGUGGCUCCCGCCUGUAAUCCCAGCACUUUGGGAGGCCAAGGAGGGUGGAUCACCUGAAGUCAGGAGUUCGAGACCAGCUUGGCCAACAUGGUGAAACCUCGUCUCUACUAAAAUACAAAAAUUAGCCGGGCAUAGUGACGGGCACCUGUAAUACCAACUACAAGGGAGGCUGAAGCUGGAGAAUUGCUUGAACCCGGGAGGCAGAGGUUGUGGUGAGCCAAGAUUGUGCUACUGCACUCCAGCCUGGGUGACAGAGUGAGACUCCAUCUCAAAAAAAAAAAAAAAAAAAAAAUAUCAUCCAUAGCACUAAAUACAGUAUAGACUAAAACAUAUUCUUGGCCUGGUGAUUAAUAUUUAUAGUGGAUGACUAUAAAUGAACUGGCUCAGAAAGUUUUUAAAUUUUUAGAGUAUAAGACUUAUUGGCUAUAAGAAGAAAAUAGUAAUUUAAAGAUGUAAAAGUUCUUUCAUUAAGACAUAAAAUAAAACUACACAAGUAAUUGAAAAUAAUGGGCUAUAAAACCAAAGGCGACGAUUGACAUCAGUGUUACUGAUAGCUACAUUAUAGUGUGAUGUACAAAUAAAAAUCACAACUUGGAAAUAUAGGACCAAAUUUCCUCAGAAAUCAUAAGUUGAGAAUAAAUAUUCUUUAAAGAGGAACUCCAGGCUCAGAUGUUAGCUGACCUGGAUUUUAAACUUGACUACCUUCUUUCUAAUCAUGUAAUCUUUCAUGUCUAUCUCUAUUAGUAAUAAGGUUAAUCUAAAGUAAAUGAUAAUUUUUCUGCUGUGAUAUAAAUUGUUUUUAUUUUAUUAUAUAUUUUUCUCUCUUAUUUGAACUUUAUAUAAUAAUCAUAUAUCACUUUUAGUAAAUACAUAAUGAUAAAAUUCAAAGGAAAUACAGCAAGAUUUUAAGAAAUUAUUUAUUCUGAAUAAGAGUUUGAAGAAUUAUUGUUCUUUUCUGCAUUUUUUGCAUUUUAAUAAUUAAAAUUCAGUUUAUUAAAGUCAUUAAUCAUGCCAUCAUUAAAAAUAAAAAUAUAUUUAAUGUAUUUUAUACCUUAAGCUCUCUAUAUAUUUUACAUUUAUCUCAACAAAUAUUUAUAACAACUUUAGGCAACUGAAAAUAUUAUUACUUUCCUUGUAUCAGUUAAAAAAUGCAGGUUGAAAAAGAUUGCUAUCUUCUCCAAAGUUGUAAGUGUUACAGAUAGGAUUAGAAUAUAGAUAUGCCUUAUUUUGCUCAUGACAUUUGUAGCCCACAUUUCCCAUUGAGUAAAGGGACCAAUUAGUUCAGCCAAAACUGCAAAUUCAGUUCUCUUCUCUAAGACUAGCCUUAGGGUUGUGAGAACCAUUUUUUUUCAUAAUCCAUUUCCAAUAAACAGAAUAUCCUUUUUCUUUCAUUCAUGCCUAACAUAAAUGUAAAAUCAAAGGUGUUUUGGGGAGAAUAUUGAAAACAAGGAUUUGAAUAUUAACAUUGAAAUAGAUGACAAGAUCAUAGGAACCAUCUAAGUGUGUUUUUCUUUAUAAUGCCUAGAAAAAUCAGCACUGGUGGUUUCUGUGUAGAAGUUCAAUAAUGUUUUAUCUCAUCUGUAAUAUAUAAAUAAUUAUGGUAGAACAAGAAAUAGUUUCAGACCAAACCCUAUUUUCUAAGAUUGCUCUUACACUAUGGGAUCAAUUUAUUUGCAAAAGUUUCUUCUUUUCAUUUUUUUUCCUCAGGAUUAUCCUUUCUACUCUUCUACUUUCUGAGCUACUUUUCUCUCUCUGUAAGUCUUAAAGAAGUUCAAUGAGCUAUAAGUGAACUCAGGUAGACAACUCAACAAAAUCAAGAAGACAAUACAUGAACAAAAUGAUACUUUGAAUAAAUAAAUAUAAACCAUAAAAAAACUUGAAUUAUUCAGUUCAGUCAUAAUACAUGACUUUAAACUUCAAAACAGUUUGUUAUAGUACAGCCAAAAUCAUUAACAUUGGUCAACUAAGAAGUAUAUAUUUUUUCUAGUUCUCUAACAGAUAGCUGUACAUUAUAUUCACAACUUACAAAAUCUGUCCAGCAAGAUAACAGAAUAGAAGACACUUAACAUUGCUUCCCCCACAAAGGUAUAAGUAGUAACUACUCAAAGACAAUAAAACUACCCUGAAGUUACUAGAACUUGAGAGAGAAGCAGAGGAACUGAUGGAGCCUAGAGAAAUGAGAGAAGCUGUGACUGAUAAAAGAAAUGAUGAUUUGAGAAUCUGCCACCCACUACUCCAAGCCACGUAACAGCUCACAGAAAAUUUCUAUACAUUUAGGAUGUCUGAGUUGGAAGGAAUUGGAAGUUGAAAAUAAACAUUCAAUUUCCCUAUCAGUUGAGGAGGCUUCAUGGGAAGCCUACAUGGGUCUCAUCCCAUGGAAAACACUGACAGUUCCAGGAGGGCUGAAUGACCUGAGUGAAUUGAAGAUAAAAUCAGGAGAGCUGAUUUCAGCAACUGUCCUGUGGAUCUUGGUAGCUGCUCUGCAUUCUGCUCAGCAGGAAUGCCACGCUGAGGAGACUGUCAAGUCUCAUAGCACUGCAGAGGUUAUAAGCCCUGGAAAUGCCUGAGUCCUUUUUUGUGUUUAUGUGGCACCUUCCCCUGACCCAGAAGCAGCUGAAAUAUUUAGUAAGUUCUUGUUUUCACAAUAAGUCUUUUCCAAAUAACAAACAAUGGCAGAGCAGUGAUUUCACUCCAGUGCAGCAUUUAAAUUCUGAUAUACACUAAGUCCUCCCUAGUCAGGAGUCAAAAGCUGGACAGCAAUUAAGUUCUGAUAUUAAGUUGUAAUGAUCUAAGACCACAAAAAACACCUGCAAAAACAGAAAGAGGUGACCAUCUCCUCAAAUUCACGGGCAUCAAUAUAAAGAUAAAAGGAUUAAGAAAAAUCAGGAAAAUAUGACACCACCAAAAGAAAUAAACAAAGCUCUAUAAUGGACACAGAAGAAUUGAUCUAUAAAAUGUCUGAAUUCCAAAUUCAGAAUAAUCUACUUUAAAAUUAUCAGGGAAUCACAAUAAAAUAUAAAUAGAAAAUUAACUUAAAUUUGGAAAACAAUCCAUAAAUACAAUGAGAUAUUUGACAAAUAAAGAAACAUUUUUAAAGCCCAAAUAAAUCCUAGAAAUAAAGAAUAUAAUAACUGAACUGAAAAAACUCAGUAGAAAGUUUUUACAACAGACAUAAUCAGAGGAAACAGCUUGAAGACAGACAUAUGAAAUUAAUCAGAGGAGCAAAAAGAGAAAAGAAAAAAUAUGGUGAAGAAGACCUACAGGAAUUUUGGGACACUAUUUAAAGUAAACUAACCUUCACAUAAUAGGAGUUUCCAAAUGAGAAAAGGGAGAAUAGACCUAGAACACAUAUUUAAGGAAAUCAUAGCUAAAAAUCUCCUAAAUCUAGAUAUAGAAAACAACAUCCACUUACAAGAAACAUAGAAGUUACUAAUCAAAUUAAUGGAAAGAAAUUCCCCAACACCUGUCAAAUUAUGAUAAAGAGAAAAUCAAAGACAAAGAAAGAAUACUGAAAAAAAGAAGAGAAAAGAGACAUAUCACGUUAAUCAGGGCCCUAAUACAGCUUUCAGCAGAUUCUCAGCAAAAACCAUGCAGGAAAGGAGAAAAUGAUAUGAGAUAUUCAAAGUAGUGAAGGAGAAUAAAAAAAAAAAAAAAAAAAAACCUGCCAACCAAGAAUAUUGUGCGAAGCAAAAGUAUUCUUCAAACAUAAAGAAAAGAUAGAGUCUUCUGCAGAUAAACCAAAGCUGAGGGAAUUCAUCAACACCAGACCUAGUAAAAUGCUAAAGGAAGUUUUUUAAUCUGAAAGAAAAGGAUGCUAAUAUGUAAAAAGAACACAUCUUAAGGUAUACAACUCAUUGGUCAUAGUAAGUAAACAAAUUCAGGACACUCAAAAACUGUAAUUGGGCCAGGUGUGGUGGCUCAUGCCUGUAAUCCCAACACUUUGGGAGGUUGAGGUGGGCAUAUCACCUGAGGUAAGGAGUUCAAGACUAGACUGGCCAACAUAGUGAAACCCCCUCUCUACUAAAAAUACAAAAAUUUUGUAUGGUGGCAUGCACCUAUAGUCCCAGCUACUUGGAGGCUGAGGCAGGAGAAUCGCUUGAACCCAAGUGGCGGAGGUUACAGUGAGCUGAGGUCAUGCCACUGCACUCUACCCUAGGUGACUGAGUGAGACUCUGCCCCCCUCCCCCCCAAAAAAUAAGAAACUGUAAGUGUAUAUAAAUCACAUCUAUUUUUUUUUUUUUUUUGAGACAGCAUCUCACUCUAUCACCCAGGUCAGAGUGUAGUGGUGUGAUCUCACCUCACUGUAACCUUUGAUUCCCAGGCUCAAAUGAAUCACCCACCUCAGCCUCCCAAGUAGCUGGAACCAUAGGUGUCACUUAUAUCUUUAUAUAAUAUUGCUUUCAUCUUUUAGUGUCUAAAAGAAAAAAACAAUUAAUGAUAAUAACAACAAUUGUUUAAGAGAAAGAACAUGUAAAAAGAAGUAAAUUUAUAUACCAAAAUUCAAAAUUUGGAAAAAGAAUGGUUUAAAAUGUAAAAACUUAUAAUAAAUAGACUAAAAAUAAAAAAUGCUGAACCAAAGCAUACUAGAGAGAAUCACUUAACCACAAAAAAGACAGAAAAAUGAAAGAAAGAUAGUUUGCUGAGAAUGAUGGUUUCCAGCUUCAUCCAUGUCCCUACAAAGGACAUGAACUCAUCAUUUUUUAAGGCUGCAUAGUAUUCCACAUGUGCCAGGGCCUGUUGUGGGGUGGGGGGAUGGGGGAUGGAUAGCAUCAGGAGAUAUACCUAAUGUUAAAUGAUGAGUUAAUGGGUGCAGCACAGCAACAUGGCACAUGUAUACAUAUGUAACAGACCUGCACAUUGUGCACAUGUACCCUAAAACUUAAAGUAUAAUAAAAAAAAAUGAAAGAAAGAAUCUCCAAAACAGUUUUAAAAAAUAGUGUAUUAUAGAUUUCAAUGUAGCUAGAGAAGAAGAUCUUGAAUGUUAUCACCACAAAGAAAUGAUAAUGCUGUGGUAAUGGAUAUGUUAAUUACCCUGAUAUGAUCAUUAAACAAUGCAUGUAUCUAUUGAAACGUCACAGUAUACCCCACAAACAUGUACAAUUAUUAUGUGUCAAUUUUAAACAAAAAUAAGAAAAUUCAGAAGGAGGGAUUUUUUUUUUUUAAUUUUGUCCUUUUUUGUUCACACUCCAGGAAGAUCUUUAUGUUUCACCAUUUACUUCUAUUUCAACAGUUGAGUGUGAUAUAAUUAAUUAGAUUAGAAAGUAGAGCAGGAUAUACAUGUCAAGCACAUUGGAAGUAAUUUGCCGUGAUUAUCUCUUUAAUGUUUUCAUGUAAAAUCAAAGCUGACUGUUAUAUUCAAGAUCUAUGUGAAAGAGAUACACCUUCUAGUCUAUAGUUUUGAACUUUUUUAUUUGAUUGUGUUUACUAACAUUAAUUUCAAUAUAUGUGUUACUGCCUCACAUACGUGCUUUUUAUAUCUAGAAAAUAUAAGGGCUCCUGAAAUUUAAAAAUAGUAUGAAAUUAGUAGCCUUAUAGUAAAAAUGUCUAGCUUGACCAACUAUGAGGAUUUAAAAGGUGGCAUGAGGAUAUGUGGUUUUAUUCCAACGUGUUUUAAAAUAUAUGUAGACUGAUAAAAUUUUAAAUAAAUAAAAUGGCUUGUAAUAGCUAUUUUGAACAUCACAUAAACAAAUGUGUAAAUGUCCAGUGGUAAAAUGAUGAAGCUUACCUGCAGUUGGCAGUAGUCAUAAUGCAAAAUAUACAUUAAAGUGUUGAACCAGUAACUCAACUCCAGCAUGGUUUUGCCAUUCAGGCUAAAGGAAACAAAAGAAUUCCUGCCUUGCCCCCCACGCAGUUUUUCUAAAGAAAUGCAAAAAUCAGAUUCUUAUUUGAAAUCUUCUGAUUUCUAUAUGUCUCUCAAAGAACAGUUGAUAUUUAAUGACUAGUGUUUCUAGGUAUGUAAGCUUUAUAUUCUACUAUUUUGUUGCAUUCUCAUACCACUUUAAUAAGUCAGGCAAAGGAAGCAACUGGAGGCUCAAUAAAGGACGGUAGAUCAGCAGUAAUGAUUGAUACCAAAAUUCUGAUAACAAUUCUCCCACUUGAUUCAUGAAUUUAUUAUCACUGAAUAAAGAGUUCUUCUGAUUUUCUCUACUUUGAAAAAUUCAGCAGGGAUUUUUGCUGUUGUUUAUUUCCCUUCUCAACAGGUGUUUCGCCUUCAUGCUCAAUAGCUAUUUCAUUUAAACUGUCAGAAUAUGUUUCACACUUCCCAAAACCUGGCAUCUUACAGCAAAGUGUGUACAACCUUUUAUUAGGAAGUUUGGAGAGCUUGUAAUGGAUAUACAAAUGAUUUUUCCAUAAAAACUUUCUGACUUCAGAAUGAACAGCACUAGAUAAAUCCUUAUAUAGCUUCUUGUUAUAAGAAAAAUCAAAGAUUUGGUUUAAUUAUACAUAGAUUUGAGAUUCAGUUGCAAUGGGGACUGAAAGUAAAGGAUAUUAAGUUUUGCUCUGUAAGCUCUUCCAGGAAUCAAUUGCAUUGGCCUCUUGAAGUGACUCCUAGUCAUCACUUUCAAAGGCAUUUAAUGGUUGUAGUAGAUCUAAAUCAUAGCUUAUAUGUACAUUGAUACUUGCUAGCUGUAUUAAUGCCUGAGUCAGCAGUGGCCACGGCUGAGCAAGAUCAGUUAUUUGGUGGCUUUCACCCAGCUGGAAAAGGGUUGCAGCUUUCACUGUGGCUACGAUAAACCACUCUCUUUUGGCCUGAUACAGGAGAUUUUUGAACUUGAUCCGUUGUGGUGGUUUUUUAUGUCAUUUUAGGUGAACUCCUGAGAAAUUUGGUUUAAAAUAGAAAUUUAAAUCUGGAUUUUAUCAGUACAAAUAAUUGUAGGAUUUUGAUAUUGAAAGUAAUCAAGAGAUAAUAAAGUCCAAUUCCUCAUUUUAAAGAUAGGACAAAUAGGAACGGGCAAGGUGACUUCUCCAGGUCAUAUAGCUUUUUAGUAGCCAGCUGAAACAGGAACAUAGGGAUCCAGUUUAUAAGGCCAAUGUUUGAGCACCUGUACUAUGCUACUAAGUACUAGCAUUUAGUAUUUAGCCAUGCCAAUGUAAAAAGAAA